AGUUAGAGGAGGUAGUAAAGAUAAAUAUCGAUACAGAACUCAAUUGAGGUACUGUAAUCGAAAUGAGUGCAUUAUAAAUCCUACAACGAGGAUCUAUUGGAGGGCAAGUCUGGUGCCAGCAGCCGCGGUAACUCCAGCUCCAAUAGCAUAUAUUAAAGUUGCUGCAGUUAAAAAGCUCGUAGUUGGAUCUGGGUUCAGGUCGGGGAUGCCUCGGGUUUAUGUUAUGAAAUUCAUUCAUGGAUCCUUGGUUUAUCCCGGCCGAAUCUUUCAGCUGUGUCUAUGUGGUGCCUCGGUACUGCAUAGAUAGAUGUGUUGACUAAGAUUGCUUCACAGCUUUCUGGCUUCAUGUCUAUGCAUCUUAUUGCCCUUCACCGGGUGAUGGGUGUGGACAGCACGUUUACUUUGAACAAAUUUGAGUGCUCAAAGCAGGCCUUGU
RNAcentral lists this ribosomal RNA (436 nucleotides) under Gyrodactylus mediotorus. Its description in RNAcentral is "bacterial SSU rRNA". It matches the Rfam family "Eukaryotic small subunit ribosomal RNA", at positions 453 to 790 of the family's 1831-position model. Lineage: Eukaryota; Metazoa; Platyhelminthes; Monogenea; Gyrodactylidea; Gyrodactylidae. The record is from RNAcentral.